This 879-nucleotide ribosomal RNA is filed under the name uncultured bacterium. RNAcentral's name for it is "bacterial SSU rRNA". It matches the Rfam family "Bacterial small subunit ribosomal RNA", at positions 1 to 844 of the family's 1533-position model. The record is from RNAcentral.
AUUCGCCCUUAGAGUUUGAUCCUGGCUCAGGACGAACGCUGGCGGCGUGCCUAAUACAUGCAAGUCGAACGAAGCUUUCUUUCACCGAAUGCUUGCAUUCACCGAAAGAAGCUUAGUGGCGAACGGGUGAGUAACACGUAGGUAACCUGCCCGAAAGAGGGGGAUAACACUUGGAAACAGGUGCUAAUACCGCAUAACCAUGAACACCGCAUGAUGUUCAUGUAAAAGACGGCUUUUGCUGUCACUUUUGGAUGGGCCUGCGGCGUAUUAACUUGUUGGUGGGGUAACGGCCUACCAAGGUGAUGAUACGUAGCCGAACUGAGAGGUUGAUCGGCCACAUUGGGACUGAGACACGGCCCAAACUCUUACGGGAGGCAGCAGUAGGGAAUCUUCCACAAUGGACGAAAGUCUGAUGGAGCAACGCCGCGUGAAUGAAGAAGGCCUUCGGGUCGUAAAAUUCUGUUGUCAGAGAAGAACGUGCGUGAGAGUAACUGUUCACGUAUUGACGGUAUCUGACCAGAAAGCCACGGCUAACUACGUGCCAGCAGCCGCGGUAAUACGUAGGUGGCAAGCGUUGUCCGGAUUUAUUGGGCGUAAAGGGAACGCAGGCGGUCUUUUAAGUCUGAUGUGAAAGCCUUCGGCUUAACCGAAGUAGUGCAUUGGAAACUGGAAGACUUGAGUGCAGAAGAGGAGAGUGGAACUCCAUGUGUAGCGGUGAAAUGCGUAGAUAUAUGGAAGAACACCAGUGGCGAAAGCGGCUCUCUGGUCUGUAACUGACGCUGAGGUUCGAAAGCGUGGGUAGCAAACAGGAUUAGAUACCCUGGUAGUCCACGCCGUAAAUGAUGAGUGCUAAGUGUUGGAGGGUUUCCACCCUUCAGU